This 420-nucleotide ribosomal RNA is filed under the name uncultured bacterium. Its description in RNAcentral is "bacterial SSU rRNA". It matches the Rfam family "Bacterial small subunit ribosomal RNA", at positions 361 to 772 of the family's 1533-position model. The record is from RNAcentral.
AUAUUGCGCAAUGGGGGAAACCCUGACGCAGCAACGCCGUGUGAGUGAGGAAGGCCCUCGGGUUGUAAAACUCUGUCAAGGUGGAAGAAUGGCCUACGUUCUAAUAGGGCGUAGGUUUGACGGUACACCUAGAGGAAGCACCGGCUAACUUCGUGCCAGCAGCCGCGGUAAUACGAAGGGUGCAAGCGUUGUUCGGAUUUAUUGGGCGUAAAGCGCGCGCAGGCGGAUAGGCAAGUCAGAUGUGAAAUCUCGGGGCUCAACCCCGAAACUGCGUCUGAAACUGCAUAUCUAGAAUCUCGGAGAGGGAGGCGGAAUUUCGCAUGUAGGGGUAAAAUCCGUAGAGAUGCGAAGGAACACCAGAGGCGAAGGCGGCCUCCUGGACGAGUAUUGACGCUGAGGCGCGAAAGCGUGGGGAGCAAA